UGAGAACUCAGUGCUGGUUUGUAAAU
Molecule: non-coding RNA, 26 nt
Filed under: Homo sapiens (human)
Lineage: Eukaryota; Metazoa; Chordata; Mammalia; Primates; Hominidae
Source: RNAcentral